Molecule: ribosomal RNA, 234 nt
Filed under: uncultured bacterium
Lineage: Bacteria
Description: partial 16S ribosomal RNA
Rfam family: Bacterial small subunit ribosomal RNA
Source: RNAcentral
CGGCGAACGGGUGAGUAACGCGUGGAUUAUCUGCCCUGAGGUGGGGGAUAACCCGGGGAAACUCGGGCUAAUACCGCAUAUGACCGAGAGGUCAAAGGGGGGUCGCAAGAUCUCCCGCCAUAGGAGGAGUCCGCGUUCGAUUAGCUAGUUGGUAGGGUAAUGGCCUACCAAGGCGACGAUCGAUAGCCGGCCUGAGAGGGUGAUCGGCCACACUGGAACUGAGACACGGUCCAG